RNAcentral lists this long non-coding RNA (13236 nucleotides) under Cinara cedri. The record is from RNAcentral. Lineage: Eukaryota; Metazoa; Arthropoda; Insecta; Hemiptera; Aphididae.
GUUCGCCGGUUCGCGCGCGUCCUAUAAUAUUUAUUCGUACGUAGGUGCCGCAACAGCGACAUUAUAAAAGUUCCGAUUUCGCGCGCUGAGUUUUCCGUUUGCACCCAUAUUCCGUUCGCGGACGCGCGUCUAUUUUUUAAAAAUUUUUUUUUUUCCCGUCGUCACGUUGUAUCGAACAACGACGAUAACAAUAAUACCCGCCGCGGUACCCGGGGUACGCCGCAUUUUGUUAUUGCUAUGCUGCAGAGUACGCCAACAACGGUGUCGUAUAGGAGGUAGGUGUCGCCUACACCAAUCCGCGAAAUCGCUCGGUACCGACGUCGUUAUUUUUUUGUCAACUAAGGGUGUAUUUUUUGAACGGUUUUUUUGUCGCGAUAUUUUCGAAUAAUUCGUAUUUUUAAUCGCGCUCGUUUACCGUUUUCGCGCCCGUUUCCAUCGCAACGGAACCAGCAAAUCGUGGUCGAUAUGACGCGGUAAGUGUACCUACGUCUACGCGAUUUGUGUUUUUGUUUAUCUAUUUGUUUUUUUUCCCGCCGAACACACGGGCGACUAGUAAAGUUAUAAUAUUAUCUUUUCGUGUGCUACACCGACAUCGCGAUACGAUUAGGUAUAUUUAAUUAUUGAAAUCCUUUUUAGACCCGAGAGCUAAGUGGUUGGUUUUUACUAGGUGUAUGUGUUUUUUUUUUUUUUUGUGUACAACUUUUACAACAGAAAUCUUGUUCUAAUCAAAAACUUUAUAGGCAUUUUCUUAUAGUAUUUCUGAUCUAGUUGGUGCAUUUUUAGAUUUUUUUUUAGAUUUUCUUCGCAUUUUUUUUCAAUAGUUAAGAAAAACUGGCAAUUUUAUUUAAAAUUUUUGUCGAUUUCUGGGUUAUUUUGGUAACAGUGGAAACUCUGCUCAGAAUAGUUUUUCGUUGGUAAUGGUUUAUCGUUCCGUACAAAUAUAAAUUAAAUUACUCUCUAUAUCCUCCCUUCCAAAUUCCCCCCUAACACACACACACACACAUUUUUAUUAUUAAUUUUGGUUAUUUGAACUACCAAUAAUAGUUAACCUAUAGACUAUAGUUCAUGCACGAAUCUAUAGUAACGUAAAUAGAAGUAAAACAAAGAAUUGUUGGUAUGCAUUGCCUGCAGCUUUUUAUGUAACUUUCUUAUUAACAAGAAAAGAAAAAAACGAAUUUAUUUAGUAUAGAUAUUAAAAUUAUAGGUAAUUGGUCGUACAGUGGUGUAGUUAUGAUUUUGUUCUGUGGAGGUGAGGGAUGGAUAAUUUGUUAAGUCGACUUCGUAUAAGCACCCUUCCAUACUUUUCAUACACAGAUCCAUGUUUUCAAUUUUAAGUGUAAAAACGAAGAAGCUAUUACCUGAGAUGUCUUUUUUUUAUGGAAAGCACUUAUUGGGUGAGUAAAAAUCGUGGUAAAAAUGAUUUUGUACUAUACUUAUAGAUUUUUCGUCUGGUUUUAAAUGGCAGUUUUUCCAAAUUCCAAAAAAUUGCACUUAUUUGUAUUUUUUAAACAUUUUUUGACGAGUGAAUAUUUCCGUUUGUUCACGCAGUACCUUAAAAGAUGUAGAUUUUUGUCUCAGUGAUACUUUAUUUGAAAUACUUUUUUAAAUUUUCAACAAUUCACUCCCUAGUUUCUUUUUUUUUCAUUUUUUUCUUGGAAAAUAUAUUAUUAGUUAUUAAAAAUAAUACGUUCGAUUAAUCGUAUCGUACCUCAAAAGAUUAAAAGAUGAGGAUUUUUUGUCCGAAGGUAUACUUUAUUUGAAAACAAUUUCUAUAUUCCCAACAGAUUUAAAUGCAAUUUAAAAAAAAACAAAUGUCGAUACAUAGGUUUUAGAUUUGUUGAUUUUUGGGAGCUACCUUGACUACUAGGGAAAAAUAUUACUAAUAUUUCGCCACUCAAAAUCGAUUUUUGAUAGCAUAUAGCAUAUAUUGUAUUGUCACCGGGCCGUGACCGGGCCAACGGAGCAAUACAAUGAGAAACGACCAAAGUUUACCAUACCAUUUGGUAGAAAUAUCAGUAUUUAUAAAAUAGUUGAUUGGCUAUUGAAUAAAGUCGCUUGACUUUGGCGAUUUUAGUGUUUGCCACACCAUGAUGCUUGUGUGGCAUGGCAAAAACCAAAUGUACAACUGCUUUUCGCAGAUAUUUUCCUUCUAGUGGUUGGGAUAAAAUCCGUUGAUAAUUCAUUGUAUUAUACAAAUUAUUGAAUAUAAUCAAAUAAAUUACUAUCGAUUACAGCUAAACUGUAAUAUAGAUUACUGAUAUAUAUUAUAUAUAUGGAUACUGUUAUUAUAGAAAUUACAUAGAUAUAACCUAUAAUACAAAAUACGGUUUUUGUUAAAAAUACAAAAUUAUAAAUGUUUCGAUUCUUGGAUGCAGUGGCAUAUGUGUGGCUGGCAAGGGGGUAACUUGCCCCCUGACACUUUUGUGGGGAUCAAAGAUAUCAUUUUGCCUUUCCAGAUAAUUCAACAGUAUAAAUCUUUGAAUCUUCCUAAGUUAAGAAAGAAUGCAAUAUAUUCACCAAAUAUAAAAUAUGUGUAAAUAGUAUUUAUACUAUAGUUACUUUUAGAUUCUGAGCGAAGCGAGUAUCAUUGUAUGAUGUUAAUUUUGUUUUAUCUGUAAACAAUAAUUCUACUAGAAAUCUUACUCCGAUUUUCAAGUGUAGUACUAUCUUUUCUAAAAGGAAAUUUGACUGGGGUGAUACUUUAAGGAGGUAAUUUUUUAAUUUGUGCAGCUCUUUUCAUAAUAAAUUGGAAAUCCCAAGAAAAACAUGUGAAAAACCGGAAAAUAUACGAAAUCGUAUAAUUAUAAUAUCGUAAAUAUUACAGCCUUUUAAAAGAACUCCGCUCAGAAUCGUGUUUCGUUAGCAAAGAUUAAUCGUUGUGUACAGAUAUACAUUAAAUUCCUCUCUAUGAUAUCAUAUCUUCUUAACUUUUCACUCACAAGUUACAACAGUGGCCUAUCUAUUAUGCAAAACAUCUCCGUAUCUUUUUUUCCUUGUAGCCAAUUAAGUAGGUAAACCAUAAAUAAAAAAAUUAAUUAUUCAAAUAAUUGCUAGGUUUUCCAAAUUAUUAAGAAAACUAUAAGGAAAUAUAAAAAAUGACCUCAAUGCACUAACCACAUAAAAAACAGUACAUACAAAUUCCUAUUAAGUUUUUGAUAAGAACAACAUUACUAGUAAAUAUUAUUGUUAGAAAAGUUGUUUAUAGACUCAAAAAAAAAAAUUAGAAUAGUAUUCGAAUUUUGAAUACUCUUCAACUCAUUUUUACGAAUACGUAAUCCGAAAAUUUAAAUAUCAUUAAAGUAACAAUUAAUAUGUUUGAUUUCAGAAUAUAUCUAUUUUUAAAUUUAAAUUAGCAAUUCGUUGCUUUAUAAUAAUAUUUUACAUUCUAAUGUAUUGCGCGAUGUUUUUUAAUAGUUAUUAAUUUUUCAAUUUUUUUCUAUUAAGAGUAAAGAGUAGAGUUUAGAUUUAUAUAGGGCUUAGAAGUAAAGGUUACUAUUUUCACUUCUAAAGUUUUAUAUUCUGUAUUACUAUGGUGAUAUUUUGGUCACCAAAAUUAUUUCAUGUCUAUUUGUUAAUAUGUUAAUAUUCCGAGUACAAAAAUAGUAUCUCGUGGGGCGAUUAAUGAAUAUCAUUUAAUUAUUUUUAUUGUUCGUAUAAAGUGUGAUUUGCUGUAAAAUUUGUGCUCGUCUCGUUUUGUUGGCACUUUUUCAAAAGACAAAACAAAUUCAACAAACAAGUUUACUGUACGUAUACGAUCAUUAUAUUUUAUAACAGUCUGCGGAUAUUAUUAAUUUAUAAAUAUUACUAAAUAACUCGUGUUUUCUAAAAUAGUUAAAUUAAUUUAAUUUCGUACCUAUAUAUUCAUCAUCCCGUACUAUACGUACAACACUAGUAUAAGUUUUUUUUUUUAUUUAUUCUCCUACACGAGUAUUGUUACAGACCGUGUCAUACUUUCACCUAUUUUAUACUUUGUAUUAUCACUGUAUAUGUUCUGCGUUGUAUUAAAAUCUUAAUAUAUAAAAUAAUACAUAAAACCGCAUGAUUUAUACGAAUUCGGACUAUAUAAAUAUUAUUUUUAAUAUUUCGGACAAGGUAUAUAAUACUCGUAAUAUCUGUCGUGUAAUCCGAAACCCACAAGAAAACUCUACAAGGCUCUGCUUUCUAUAAUGCGAAUUUAAACACUAAAUACUAGUUCGCACUGUAGUCAACAAUCAACAGUAUCAAAUUAAAAAAAAAAAAAUAAUAAUAAUUAUUGUUAUAAUGUGUGAUGAACGCUAUUUGAACAUUAAAAUGUUGGGGGUAUUUAUGAAAAGUGUUGACAGUUACUAUAUUAUCACAUACGAGUACAGCAACAACAAGUAGGUAUUAACAAUAAUCAUGAGUAUAAGCGAAAAUUUAGUAAAUAUAUUUUCUCUAGAUUUAUUCUGACCGGCAUUAUAAAUUACCAUCAGAUAAAAAUAGUUUGUGUAUAACACUACUGUUGUAGUUUGAACAUCUAAAAACGUGACAAAUUACAGGAUUUCAGUACAAAGUUCAAGUUCGAUUUGACGAAUGCAACAAGUUUUGUUUUGUUCGAUAUUAAUUUUAUUUUUAUAAUUAUUUAUUAUGGUCUCGCGCUAUAAUUGAAAUAUUAUAAAAAACAAAUAUGAGGGCUCAAAUUGAUAGUGUAGCAAACGGUACCGUUAAUAUACAGUAACCUGUUCAAGCGCAGGGGGGGGUGGUGCACGGGGUCAUCGAAUUCGAUUCCCGGAGCCCGUUCGUCGUGCGUCUGUUUUCGAAACAGUAUAAGGUCAGAAAUUUGAAACGUACCUAAUUACAAACAAUAAACAAUAAAACAAUAAAACAAUAAAUAAAUAUAAUUUGUUUUAUAGCUUAUUAAUUUAUUCGGUUAUUCAUUUACUAUCUAGAUUUAUAUAUACAUAUAUAUUUUUUUUUUAACAUUAUUCAAUUUAUUUAUUUAUUUGCUUACAUUAUAUCCGUUGAUUUCUAGACUUGACUUUUUUUUCCCAAUAAAUCACAAUGAUGCUAACAUAACAGCAAAACGUGCCAUAUUUGUCAAAUGUAUAAUAUUUUAUGUCUAUGACGUUUUGCGCGAUGGCUUAAACCAGAGCUCAAAGCUCAAACAUUCGAAAACUAAACUGAUUUCGGAAACCUGCAGGGGUCUUUUAGUUUUGUGUAGGUCGUAUUUUGAGUAGUAGUUAAAUUGUGUUAAGCUAUGUACUUUUAAUAAACUUUGUAAAACGUAAUGCAAUCACAUCAACAGGUAUAUUCCAUUAUCAUUAUCAUUAUUAUUAUUUUAGACUUUGAGCGUAAAGAGGGAUGUUCAUUUUAGAUAUUAGUUUUACUAGGGCGUGUGUGUUUUUUAUUUAUUAUUUAUUUUGAAGACAUUAAAAUAUAAUAAUACGAUAUUAAGUGCUUUUCAUCGUUAUGUUAAGUAUUCGUAAAAAAUACAGAUAAACUCCACCACGUCUUCGUCGACAUAUGGAUCAAUUUUUCACCCCAUCCACGUAUAAUAUAAUUAAUGGUUAUAAUUUUGUGUAUUGGAGAAAUUUGAGGUUUUCUGUAUACGUAACGGUAGUUUAAAGACUUAUAAUUUCUAUACGAGAUGAGAAAAGUAAUGUGGCUGUAUUUAUGUACCUAUACUAAACGAUGUACUCAAUAAGAUGACUCGAUUUUCAAUAAAAGUUUGAAACAAUAAUUAUUUGCAGGCAUUAGUUUUAUACAAUUUAUACAAUUGAGUUAUAUUAUUGAUGGAAGCAUAGUUUAAUACAUUUUAGACGAUAGUGUUAUACAGCUUUCUUCGUUUCGUAUAAACAGAAAUAAUAAUUAUAAGUCACACUAAAUGGCUAAUCUGUUGCCUUACAUAGAAAACUAGGAGUUUCUCUAUAAAAAAUAAUAGAAAACGAUUAUUCGCGCGACUGGUCGUUCCUAGUUAACAAGCACACAUACUAUAUAGGUGGAUAGGUAUGUCCGAGUGAAAAGCAUCAUUCAGUAAACGACAGUGUAUUUUUAUAUAGGUAUCCAUCACACACAGUCAGGUAUCCAUUGCAUAGUCCUUGAAAAAAAAAAAAACAGCACACCUGUGUAUACAAUAUUUUUUAUACGUGGGUAUAGUGGUAUAAGUAGGUGCUUAUAUAUACUCUCUCGACGAGAGUUUCGGCAAGUUAUAUGGCCUCUUGGUCGACACGCGUGAUGUGGUACAGUAUUCUCGUACGAGUUUGUCGAGCAAUUACUGAGUUACGUUUUGUUACUUGUAUCUUUUAUAUUAUUUAUAAAUAACUUGUAUCUUAUUCUGCAUUCGAAUGCGUUAUUUCUCACGUAACUUCUUGCUCAGUCUUUCGUUAAGACACUUCUUAUACUUCCGAUAACUGUUCACAUUGUAUGAAACAGAUUUAAUUUAAUCUCGAAAAGCGAAAUAUUACGAUUAGAGACCGGAUUUCAUGCAGUUUAAAAUGCUGAGAAUAAAAUGUUUUCUAUAUUUUUAUCGACAUUUUCAUUUAUAAAUAUACUACAUUCGUAUAUGCAUUUAUAAUAUUUUAUACUUUGUGUGUAGUGUGUGUCUAUAUAGUAAAUAUGUGCAACUCUAUCGAGUGUACUUGAAAUAAAAAUAACAAACUUAAAAGAAAAACAAAUAAAAACAAUCGAAAUUAUACCCAUAUAGAAUAUUAAUAAAUUAAGGAAUAAAACGUUUUAAUGCCUAAAUUUGUAUGUAUUCUUGUUUGUUGGUAUGCAUUAUGUACCGAUGAGUUUACAGCAUAGACUAUAUAACGUGGGCGUACAACUAUUGUCGUUGUGGUCGAAUGGUAUGCUUUUUCCUACAAAGCGCGGGGAUCGAAAAUUUGAAACCCGACGGAGUUGAGCAUUUUUUUCUAUUGUUUGUAACAAUUCGUGUUUUACAGAAUUUACUAAAAUCUAAAUACGUGUGCUUAAAAAAUACCACCGUAGUAUCCGAAUUAUUCCGUAAUCGUGAAAUAUUAAUUUUUUUUGUAAGCGGUACAAAGUUUCGUAUAUUAGUUCGUUGACCAAUGAACCCCCGAUAUGAAAGCUCGCCCGAUUAUAGCUGCACAACCUCCGCAGUUGAAACAUCUAAUUAGAUGUUUUAACUAAGCGUAAUUACACUUAAAAAUCUCGUCUCGAUAAUAUAUUAUAUUAUAUUUAAUAUUGAAAAUAUUGAAUAUUUUUUUUUUUUAUAAUUUUCCAAAAGUGUACAUUAUAAUAACAUUAUAAAACUGUGUCUCGUUUGGUAUUCAACUCUUGUCCACGUCGAGGCGCUAGCCGUGCGUGUUGCGUUAGUCACCGCCGUAUAAUGUCACGCGCGCGUACACCCGUUUUGUCUAGCCUAUAAAUAAUAGAGUAUUUUAAACUCGAUAUACUUAAAUAUACAUUUACAUCAUCGAAUCCUUUACGCAGUAAACGAUUAAUAAAUAUUAUUACGUAUAUUACACCGUCGUAAAAAUGCGCACUUUCGCCAUAAAACGAUAUUUAAAUGCCAAGGUUAAGGCAUUUUGCUUCUAUAAAACACCAUAGGAGAUACCUAUAUUUAAGAACAUCCUUUUGGCAUAUGCCAUGCGAUUCGCCGGCAUUUUUUUUUUUAAUAAUAACUAUCGAAUGAUUAUACUGUUUUUCUGCGGAACCAUGGUCGUCGGCGGUUUUAUUUUAUUAUUAUUAUUUUUUUCGUAUCUUUAUUAUAAAUUUCAUUAGAAGUUUCUUAUAAAUACUAUAUAAUAUAGGUACGUAAUUUAAAUUUAAUAUUUGAAUAUAUUAUGCAAUACAUUUCUACUGAUCACGUUUGGCAGCAGUUUAUUGGACCGAAAAAGUAAUCACAAUGUGUAGAUAUAUUUCCCCCGAACUCUUUGUAGAUUUUCUGACGGAAAUCGCCGGAUUUCCGAUAAGAAAAAUGAGUUUGUAACCAAAAUAUCCUUUAAAGUUAAUACGAAUGAAAUAUGUGUGAUAAUUGAGUUUGUAAAAUUGAGUAAGUGAAUAAUAAUUGAUUACUUACCUCGCAGUGUUUACCGAUAAUAUAUACCACGAAACGGUGUUGUAUAUUGUUUAAACAGAUUGGACUUCCAUUAAUGUUCUUCCAACCGUGUAAAAAAUUAACGAUUUUCUAUACCCAGUAAAUAAAUUCACAAUUUAUAUUUUACGACCCGUGUAAUCUGACGGUUACUCUUUAAUGGAUAUAUGCUACGGAUUUAUUCAAUACCAAUAUUGCCUCGCCGUUUGUAUACAAUUAUUAUUAUUCUAUUCGAUAUUUUCUACACCGUAAGAAAUUAUAAGUGCUCAUAAAUCAUAAUAUGGUUUUAUAAAUAAACGUGCAUUUUUAACACAUUCGUAUUAUACGCAAACAUUUUAUUUUUACAUUUCGAACAUAUUUUAUUCGCGUGCAUUCGUUCAGUGGGUAGAAAUAGCAACGAGUUGAUAUUUCCUAGCCGACGGAUCACGAAUGUGUUUAUACAUUGGGUAUCUAGUUUUUAUAACGAACCUACAGUGACGUGAACAAGUAUUUACUACCGGAAGGGGGGAGGAGAGGAAAUUUAGUAAACAAUAAUCAUCAUUCAUGAAUAAAUCGUAGAAUAUUCUUCCGUUGUUAAUCCGACAAUCAUGGGAAUUUAAAAGCCAAACCCCAGAUAUAACAAUUUUUAUUCAAUAAAUUAGGCUUUUUUUCUCCCCAUGUAAUUUGAUUAAAAUACACAAUUUCAAGAUAAAAUGUCCAAAUAAAAACAUUAGCAGUGCUUGUAUUUUUUAAUCCAAUGGGGAUUUAACUCCUAUCCGUUGCGAGCGCCACCGUGUUUGUCUUUUUCGUAGACUAUACAACGUAUACGUAUAAUACUAUCGUCGACUGCAUUAUAAUCUAAUCAUUCGUUCUAAACCUUUUUUUCAACUGUUAUGUUACGGGUAUAGUUUUUUGUUUUUGUUUCAAAUAAAAUAAAUCAACAAAUAAAUACAUCAUCCGUCUAAUGCCCGAAUGACCGACAUAAAAACGUAUAAAUAAAAUCUGCGUUUAUUCGAUAAGUUCGGAUUAUAAUGAUAUUUUAAUUAUUGUUUUAUAUUUGUAAAUUAUUAGGUGAAAAUGUUUCGUUCGACUGUAAUACUAAAUGCCCAACCGUUUUAGCAUUGGGAGAGUACCUAUUGUAAUCCACCCGGGUCAAUACGUGACCUACCCGACACAAUUAUGGUAUCCUGCCUAAUACGCGAUUUAUCGCCGGUAAACUAUGAUAAUAAUAUUAUCUAGUGUAAAUAGAUUAUGACGUUAUGUACACAUUAUUUAUUUUAAAAAUGCGUAAUAAAAUAUUAUUGAUAUUAUUAUUUCAUAUGACUAGGUCAGAUAUUUAUAUGCCCUAAAAAUGUAUGCUAAAACUAUGCUGCUUUCCUGUAAAAAUUACCGAACAUUUCUAAACUAACACUACAAUUACCCGUUAAAAAAAUAUUGAAUAAAUAAAAUUAUAAUUUUUAAAUUUUUUAAAUAUGUUUUAUUGUUUUACAAAAAAAAUACGAUAAAAAAUAAAAUGAACUAAAAAAUAUUUUAUUUAAAACAUUGGAAUUAAAGUUAGCAAUACUCGCAAGCUGAUAUUUAUAAAUCUUUAACUAUUUUCGGUUUGUAGAGUUGAAAAUGUCUUAAACAUGUAUAAAAUCUUUAAACGUGAUUUAAAACUUUACAAAAUCUUAAAGUAUGCUUUAAAAAUGCAAAAAUACCAAAAUAUUUAAAUAAAAUUAUUAGGCUAUAACCCAUUUUAUUAUAAGCUAGAUAUUUUUCUGAAGAACCAAUAAAUUAUGCAAAAGCAUAUAAGUAUUUGCCUUAAUUAUUAUGACUGGCUAUAAAACGAAACGCUAUUAGGCAAUAACUCUCUCAAUUUUUUUUUUGACCCAACGUUUGAUACUCCCAAUUGGGCCAUUUAUUCUAAAAGUUACAAUGUCUUCUAAUAUUAUUAUAUAAAUCCAAAUGCGAAAUUGGUAAAAAAUUUUCCAAAUUAUAGCUCCGUCGGCGUAUCUACGGCCACCUGCAUUCAUUCGCUUCCCGAGCUCACGUCCAAAAUAACCCUAGAUUUGCUAUGUAAAACUUAAUCUAACUUCUGAAAAUUUUUUUGUCCAAAAAUGUAAAGAAACACAGUACAUUGGACUAUAAAUAAUUUGAGAAGGAUUCAAUCGCUCCACCGAGGCACCGUCACACCGUUUUAAUCAUGGAAAAACAAACUUGUUUCUCAAAUUUUAAAACAAUUUUAUCAGAAGUUUUACACGAUAUUUCGGGGUAGUCUAAAUUUCGUGAAAUAAACUUGGAACUGAAAUGUAACGAAGAUGUUCACCGUCACUUAUUCAUGGACGUUUAUUCUUGGUAUCGAUCAGCGAUUGGUUAUUGCAAAUAUUAACCGAGAAGAUUAUUAGACUGAGUGUAUAGAAUAUGUAUUUUUCUAGGAAAAUACUUUUUCUGUUACCAAAAAACCAAUUUUUCAUACCGUAAAUAAAAAAAAAUGUGGAUUUCUUGCGCUGUAGUACUUCAUUCGAAACAUUUUUGUAGAUUCCUAACAGAUGUUAAAAUAAUCAAGGGUUUGACGAUACAUCGGAUUAUUUUUAUUGAUUUCUGUGGGUCGGCUUGAUUAUGAUAAGGGAGAAAACAUGAUAGUAAUGCAAUAAAACUCUACCGAACUCCGCUCAGAAACGUUUUCCGAUUAUUGCAAUGCUUUAUCGUGGAUUUUAGUGGGUAUAUAAGCUAAAUUACCCUAUACAUAUUCUACAUAAUGAAAUAUAAUUCAAAUUUUCCACCUACAACAGUGAUGACCCGCACCCGGGUGCGAAGUUUUUCCCACUUCUUUUAUGAAUGCUAUUAAAUGGAUAUUACAAUAUUAUUAAUUACUGUAAAUAAUUAAAAUUUUUUUUUUUAACUUGGUAUAUCCUAUAUUAUAUAGGUUGUAAUUAUCUUUUUAAUAGUUUUCUAAUAGCUUUUCAUAUAUAGAUUAAAAGGAAAAAGAAUUUCACAAAGAAACGUUCAUUAUAAUUGCUAUCGCAUAAUCAAGGUAGGUCACGUUAACUAGAGCCUAUGUAUCUGCGCGACGAGAUACAAUAUUUUACUAUUUUCACCGUGUCGUGAGACUCUUCUAUUAGAACGUACAACGAGAAUUUACACAUUUUUAGUAACAGAUACAUAUUAUAGUGUAUAGAUAUAGACGAUAUAAUGAAUACCUUUUAUUAUAACGUGAAAAAUACAGAUUUAACUCGUCAUAGUAUUUAAAAGUACACUCGUAUAACAUGUACUUAUUUAAAAAUGUAAAACUGAUUUAAAACUACAAGUUUGGUCAAAAGAUUUAAGAUAACAUUUUUUUUAUACCAGCAUUCGUCAUACAUUGUUAUCUAUCAGUAUUAAACAUACGAGUACAGGUAAUUUUUUUGAAUUAAUCAGCAAACUUUUAAAAUUAAAAUCAUUUUUAAACGUGUACCUAUAGAUAAUUUUAUACUUUGAGUAUAGGGAAGAAACUUUUGGUUGUAUAAAUACUUUAGUUUUUAAUUAUUUAUUCAUUCUGUUUCCCGUUAUCAAACAGUGUAAUAUUAUUUUGAAAGUGGUGAUGUAUGAGUAUUUUGUGAUGGGAAAUUUUUAAAUUAUUCAUUUUUGGAAUUUGGAUUAGUGUUUUUUUUUUUGCUGUACACUAUACCUAUUCAUUUUCUAAUAAUUUCGGGCACGUGUAGUAUUUUAAAUUUCUUUUUUUUUUUUACUGUUUUCUCAAUUUUUCAAUAUUUGAAUAAACUGUAAAUCAUAAAAAAAAAAAAAAUUAAAAACUCUUGAAAAUAUUAUUACGUUAAACCAUUUCAAAGUCCAGUAACAAAAAUGAAUUACAAUAAUAAUUUUUAACGACAUUUUUAUAUUAGUCUAAUUCUAUAAAAUACGUGUCGAGUUUGACUAAAGUAUUUAUUGCUAUUCGUGAAAUUCUAUUAUUUUUAUCAAUUUGUGUAAAUAUAGGUACACUAGUUUUUCAAUAUACAAAUAAUUUACAAUAAUAUAUUUUAUUUGGUCUCAGGGAUAAAGGGCUUUAGUCAAUUCUGUAAAGUUUUCAAUAAAAGCAAAUUAAAUUUUAAAUAUUGUUUAUGGACAUAGGUAUGAUGUUAUCAUUUUCUAAACGGCCAAACCAAAAAUGGUGUAUAAUUCUACGCCAUGUCUUUUUGCUAAACAGAAAGUACGCCUGUAGUGACUUGAGAUACUUUAAUUUUCGGUAUAAAAUUAGCUAGAGCAUGCAUACACAUGUGCCAUUUAGACCGAAAAACAAACGGACACAAAUUACACAAAUAAACGCUAUAAUACAUUCCCUCGCGCCCUUUUUUCCUGAGAUCAAAGAUAUAAUACAUUUAGUGUUUCUUAUCAAAUAUAUUGAUUGCUCGUUCCCGUGGCUUCUUUAAAACAGUACUGAAAAGUGUCAUACGUGAUGUGGAUGAUGUUCAUUCAUAUUGUUAGUUUUUGUUGUUUAUAUAAAAUUUAGGAUUAGAAAAUAUGUUUGUUUUAAAAUCAUUAAUAGUCUUCAACGGGUCUUCAGCAUCCUUUGUCUAGACUCUAGGUUAUCAACAUAUUUAUUUAUUUUUUUUUUUUCUGACGAUUUCGAUCGUUUCAGUAUUCUCGGCAACGAUUGUUAUUUUUGUAACCAAAUUACAGACAUCGUAAUCGACUGUAUUCAAUUCUCAAAUAUUACAGUGUAAUAGAACCAAUUUCGUUUGUCAGAAUCGAGGCGACGCGUUUAAAAAUGAAACUUUCCCCUCCCCCGCAAACCGUUCGCCUCGUUCCGAAAACAGUGUAAUAUAGAAACGAAUUUAAUUUUGUUUUCUUUUUUUUUUUUUUCCAGAGGAAUUUGCCCUUCGCUCGGAAUGUAUCGGUCGGUGCGGCCGGCAGCUUCGGUCGAUCCAGCGGCGAUGGCGGCGGCGGCGGCAGUGGUGACGGGAUGCAUUUUGAAAACCACGUUCUAAAUAUAAAAUCACCAACGGACAGCGGAGCGAAGACGUGGUGGCGAUCGCGGUGGUGGGACGCAAACAGCGGCGACGGCGGUGGCAGAAGCAGCUGUUGUGCGCCGAGUGUAAAUUUUAAACCGCUCCGCCGGAGACAUUGAGUCGCGACGACGACGCGGAACGCGCGCACGAGAGACAAGGCAUUCUCGUCGCGUAGACAAUUUUCCGUUCGUUAUUUAAGAAGGAAGAGAAGAAAAUUCGCCGUUUUUUUCGUCGCGGUGCCCUCUGUAUGUUUUUGUUAUAGUGUUGCACAGGCAG